AGUGUCACUGACGUUUUUCCUCAAGCAAGUCUGGACUUUCCUGGUGGCACAUCUAUGGUUUUAAGACUACAUGACUACCUUAUACAACAGAAUUCUAUUGGUGGUGCAUCUGUGUGGUUUGGCUUUCAGAAAUCAUCGGGUAACAAUUCUAGGAGGAGCGUUCUUCCUUAGCUUGUCCCGGGAACACCUGUAUCCAAUAGAGAGCAUCAGGGUAGUCUAAUUUGAAGCACAAAUCAUAGGAGUCAUUUGUAGCGGUUUAAACAGCUGCUAAAUGCAGUUAAUUUCUCCAGGACAUUGGCGGCGGUUGCAACUGAUGUAGGGUUUUAGUUGUCCAUUUUCGGCGUUUUCAACCGCCGCUAAUAUUGACUUUCUCCGCCACGAAAUGUCCAGUUUUGUAGUUGGAAUUAUUAUCAGUGAAAAGACGUAAAUCCAAUGCUAUUAAUUCUUCGUCCAAAAAAAAAGAUAUGAAUUCUCUCCAAGGAAUCUGGAAAGUGUUAUGGAUAAAAUAUGUAAAAUGAAAUCCUCUGAGAAUCCUUAUU
Molecule: long non-coding RNA, 539 nt
Organism: Lotus japonicus
Lineage: Eukaryota; Viridiplantae; Streptophyta; Magnoliopsida; Fabales; Fabaceae
Exons: 3
Source: RefSeq, a predicted model, not a curated record